This 477-nucleotide ribosomal RNA is filed under the name Streptococcus sp. oral taxon 066. RNAcentral describes it as "bacterial SSU rRNA". It matches the Rfam family "Bacterial small subunit ribosomal RNA", at positions 28 to 488 of the family's 1533-position model. Lineage: Bacteria; Bacillati; Bacillota; Bacilli; Lactobacillales; Streptococcaceae. The record is from RNAcentral.
GAUGAACGCUGGCGGCGUGCCUAAUACAUGCAAGUAGAACGCUGAAGCUUGGUGCUUGCACCGAGCGGAUGAGUUGCGAACGGGUGAGUAACGCGUAGGUAACCUGCCUGGUAGCGGGGGAUAACUAUUGGAAACGAUAGCUAAUACCGCAUAACAGUCGACAUUGCAUGAUGUUGAUUUGAAAGGGGCAAAUGCUCCACUACCAGAUGGACCUGCGUUGUAUUAGCUAGUUGGUGAGGUAACGGCUCACCAAGGCGACGAUACAUAGCCGACCUGAGAGGGUGAUCGGCCACACUGGGACUGAGACACGGCCCAGACUCCUACGGGAGGCAGCAGUAGGGAAUCUUCGGCAAUGGACGGAAGUCUGACCGAGCAACGCCGCGUGAGUGAAGAAGGUUUUCGGAUCGUAAAGCUCUGUUGUAAGAGAAGAACGAGUGUGAGAGUGGAAAGUUCACACUGUGACGGUAACUACCAGAA